CGGGUGGCAGCAGCAGUGGGGAAUAUUGGGCAAUGGGCGCAAGCCUGACCCAGCAACGCCGCGUGAGGGAAGAAGGUUUUCGGAUUGUAAACCUCUGUCCUUGGGGACGAAGAAGUGACGGUACCCAAGGAGGAAGCUCCGGCUAACUACGUGCCAGCAGCCACGGUAAUACGUAGGGAGCAAGCGUUGUCCGGAAUUACUGGGCGUAAAGGGUGCGUAGGCGGCAUAUUAAGUCAGGUGUGAAAUACUCGGGCUCAACCCGGGGGCUGCAUUUGAAACUGAUAUGCUUGAGUGUGGGAGAGGAAAGUGGAAUUCCUAGUGUAGCGGUGGAAUGCGUAGAUAUUAGGAGGAACACCAGUGGCGAAGGCGACUUUCUGGCUCAUAACUGACGCUGAGGCACGAAAGCGUGGGGAGCAAACAGGAUUAGAUACCCGUGUAGUC
This 441-nucleotide ribosomal RNA is filed under the name uncultured bacterium. Its description in RNAcentral is "partial 16S ribosomal RNA". It matches the Rfam family "Bacterial small subunit ribosomal RNA", at positions 342 to 795 of the family's 1533-position model. The record is from RNAcentral.